AAGAGCAUAAAAGACGCUAGGAUGUGCCAAUGUGCCAAGUACUUUUGAUUAGCAAACGCUUCACUGAUUUUGAUUGUCAGCUCAGCUAUGGGAAUCUGAUCUUGUGAUCUGCUGCUGAUUCUCCUGCGGAGCAGCUGCUAGUGCGUUGCACUAGUUCUGCUAAUAAACAUCAUUAGAUACGUCCAAACGUCAAAUUAACUAGCUAAGCGCUAACAACAAUGCCACUGCCUCGGAGCCUUUGCGAAAAUGCAAAUCGAAUUUUCCACAGAAAAACAGCCAUUUGCCCACUAAAAUAUAGGAAAUUGAUCUGGCGAUAAAUCGAGCUACUCAAUUUACAAAAACAACGCCGCCCUGGUACCGCUUUGACUUCUACUGGCUGCCGUUCGGUUGGCCGAGCAACUCGAACCAACUCGUCCUGGGACUGACUUCAGGUACAACAAUGAGGCAAACGGAAGCCGGAUUUGCAGCUUGCGUCUUGCGGCUAGCUGGCAAGGAUCGCACGGAUGUUUAAUAUUUUGGCUUAGAGACAUUCUCAUUAUAUUUGAAAACAAUGGCCCAUGAUGCGGCCUUGUCGACCGCCCGGCCAGGAUUUGAGCGUUUAGCAAAAGGGUAAUUGCGCAUGGAUAACCGCCUAACCAACGCAAUGAUCCACACAGACAUCGAGCUCGGACUCGAACUCAGACUCGGACACGAACUCGGAAUGACAAUCGGAGUUCGGCUCACAUCGAAGACCUGUCGUCGGAGCUAAGCUAGCUGAAAACCUGCCACAGACGCGGGGAUACGUGUCUUUCCACACCUGCCCCGGUAAGCAGGUCUGCGGAUCUGCGGCAUUCGCUUACGCGAAUUGCGUUAAUCACGCACGUCGCCCUUCAUUGAGGACGCGGAUUACUUAAUCAACGAAAAUCUAUGAAUUAAAAGUGUUACCGAAAAUCCGCCAGCUUCGGGCCAGAUUCCGACGAAGUUCUGGCCGCAGAGCCACUUGAGCUGAAGAGCUGCAGCAGCGAUUGAUCUGAGCUGGCUCCGGCUUAGCCCACACACCCACCCAACCCUGGGAGGGAGUUGAAGUUCAGUCUUGAGCUGAUUUAAAGCAGUUCAAGUGGACCGAACGGGCCCAAAGCUUGUGACACAAGUUAGUCCCUCGGCUGGUUGGUGGCUUAAUCAAGGAUUUCAAUUAGAGCCAACGGCUUAGUCAGGGCUUGCUCCACAUUUCGCCAGAGGAAAUCAAUAAGUGAAAAUUUUCUCUCUUUUUAUUGCGAAUGCGAAAAAAAGGGAAAACUACAAAUUAAGACCUAAACAAUGCAAAGCCAACAAUGUGCAGAAAAACGUUACUGAUGACAGAAUGAUGAGGAUUAAACCAACACAGGCGCACAGCUAGGACUACGACUGUAACAACAACAACCACAAUUGCAUAGAGCCUCACACACAUACACACACACAACCGUCGUCGUCGCCUCUGAGUCUAUUAAAAGUCUAAAGGCAGAUAAUAAAGGGCCAUUAGGACUUAAAAGGGCUCAACAACCCAGCGGCAGCAGUCGAAACGCUUUGUGCCCUCAGAGACAACAAAAUUUGUGCCGGAUUCAACAGCAGCAGCACCAAUAACAACAACAACAACAACAACAGCAUCUGCAGCAUCCAAGCAGAGUCGAGCAUGGACCUUGGCAAAGUCGAAAUGGCAGCAGCAACGAAGCAUAUUUAAUUCCAAAUCCCCGCAAGCAUUGAGCUAUGGGUGCUACGGGUUAGGGUAGGUUUUUGCACUAUGCUCCUGAAACUGAAUGUGUGUCAGUGCCAUAGACAUCACACACACUCACACACACACAUAUAUAUAUAUAUAUAUAUAUAUAUAUCUAUAUAGAGGAUAUAUUUGUAUGGAUGCAUUCAACAUUUCUAUUUACUUUGGCCAACGCAAUUACAACAAUUUUGCAGCAGCCAGCCAAAACGAUUGGCAACUGUUUUCCU
Molecule: long non-coding RNA, 1956 nt
Organism: Drosophila mojavensis
Lineage: Eukaryota; Metazoa; Arthropoda; Insecta; Diptera; Drosophilidae
Exons: 3
Source: RefSeq, a predicted model, not a curated record